AGUGAACGCUGGCGGUAGGCCUAACACAUGCAAGUCGAACGGCAGCACAGGAGAGCUUGCUCUCUGGGUGGCGAGUGGCGGACGGGUGAGGAAUACAUCGGAAUCUACUCUGUCGUGGGGGAUAACGUAGGGAAACUUACGCUAAUACCGCAUACGACCUACGGGUGAAAGCAGGGGACCUUCGGGCCUUGCGCGAUUGAAUGAGCCGAUGUCGGAUUAGCUAGUUGGCGGGGUAAAGGCCCACCAAGGCGACGAUCCGUAGCUGGUCUGAGAGGAUGAUCAGCCACACUGGAACUGAGACACGGUCCAGACUCUUACGGGAGGCAGCAGUGGGGAAUAUUGGACAAUGGGCGCAAGCCUGAUCCAGCCAUACCGCGUGGGUGAAGAAGGCCUUCGGGUUGUAAGCCCUUUUGUUGGGAAAGAAAUCCAGCUGGCUAAUACCCGGUUGGGAUGACGGUACCCAAAGAAUAAGCACCGGCUAACUUCGUGCCAGCAGCCGCCGUAA
This 505-nucleotide ribosomal RNA is filed under the name uncultured bacterium. RNAcentral's name for it is "partial 16S ribosomal RNA". It matches the Rfam family "Bacterial small subunit ribosomal RNA", at positions 29 to 523 of the family's 1533-position model. The record is from RNAcentral.